This 492-nucleotide ribosomal RNA is filed under the name uncultured bacterium. RNAcentral's name for it is "partial 16S ribosomal RNA". It matches the Rfam family "Bacterial small subunit ribosomal RNA", at positions 29 to 507 of the family's 1533-position model. The record is from RNAcentral.
AGUGAACGCUGGCGGUAGGCCUAACACAUGCAAGUCGAACGGCAGCACAGUAAGAGCUUGCUCUUACGGGUGGCGAGUGGCGGACGGGUGAGGAAUACAUCGGAAUCUACUUUUUCGUGGGGGAUAACGUAGGGAAACUUACGCUAAUACCGCAUACGACCUACGGGUGAAAGCAGGGGAUCUUCGGACCUUGCGCGAUUGAAUGAGCCGAUGUCGGAUUAGCUAGUUGGCGGGGUAAAGGCCCACCAAGGCGACGAUCCGUAGCUGGUCUGAGAGGAUGAUCAGCCACACUGGAACUGAGACACGGUCCAGACUCCUACGGGAGGCAGCAGUGGGGAAUAUUGGACAAUGGGCGCAAGCCUGGUCCAGCCAUACCGCGUGGGUGAAGAAGGCCUUCGGGUUGGAAAGCCCUUUUGUUGGGAAAGAAAAGCAGCAGGUUAAUACCCCGCUGUUCUGACGGUACCCAAAGAAUAAGCACCGGCUAACUUCGUG